RNAcentral lists this ribosomal RNA (470 nucleotides) under uncultured organism. RNAcentral describes it as "partial 16S ribosomal RNA". It matches the Rfam family "Bacterial small subunit ribosomal RNA", at positions 334 to 796 of the family's 1533-position model. The record is from RNAcentral.
CACUCCUGCGGGAGGCAGCAGUGGGGAAUUUUGGACAAUGGGCGAAAGCCUGAUCCAGCCAUGCCGCGUGCAGGAUGAAGGCCUUCGGGUUGUAAACUGCUUUUGUACGGAACGAAACGGCCUUUUCUAAUAAAGAGGGCUAAUGACGGUACCGUAAGAAUAAGCACCGGCUAACUACGUGCCAGCAGCCGCGGUAAUACGUAGGGUGCAAGCGUUAAUCGGAAUUACUGGGCGUAAAGCGUGCGCAGGCGGUUAUGUAAGACAGUUGUGAAAUCCCCGGGCUCAACCUGGGAACUGCAUCUGUGACUGCAUAGCUAGAGUACGGUAGAGGGGGAUGGAAUUCCGCGUGUAGCAGUGAAAUGCGUAGAUAUGCGGAGGAACACCGAUGGCGAAGGCAAUCCCCUGGACCUGUACUGACGCUCAUGCACGAAAGCGUGGGGAGCAAACAGGAUUAGAAACCCUUGUAGUCC